CACUGGUGUUCGGGUUGUCAUGCCAAUGGCACUGCCCGGUAGCUAAAUGCGGAAGAGAUAAGUGCUGAAAGCAUCUAAGCACGAAACUUGCCCCGAGAUGAGUUCUCCCUGACCCUUUAAGGGUCCUGAAGGAACGUUGAAGACGACGACGUUGAUAGGCCGGGUGUGUAAGCGCAGCGAUGCGUUGAGCUAACCGGUACUAAUGAACCGUGAGGCUUAACCUUACAACGCCGAAGCUGUU
RNAcentral lists this ribosomal RNA (241 nucleotides) under Escherichia coli. RNAcentral describes it as "partial 23S ribosomal RNA". It matches the Rfam family "Bacterial large subunit ribosomal RNA", at positions 2707 to 2925 of the family's 2925-position model. Lineage: Bacteria; Pseudomonadati; Pseudomonadota; Gammaproteobacteria; Enterobacterales; Enterobacteriaceae. The record is from RNAcentral.